UACGAAGGGGGCUAGCGUUACUCGGAUUGACUGGGCGUAAAGGGCGCGUAGGCGGUUCGUACAGUCAGACGUGAAAUUCCUGGGCUCAACCUGGGGGCUGCGUUUGAUACGUGCGGGCUUGAGUUCGGAAGAGGGUCGUGGAAUUCCCAGUGUAGAGGUGAAAUUCGUAGAUAUUGGGAAGAACACCGGUGGCGAAGGCGGCGACCUGGUCCGAUACUGACGCUGAGGCGCGAAAGCGUGGGGAGCAAACAGG
RNAcentral lists this ribosomal RNA (253 nucleotides) under uncultured bacterium. RNAcentral's name for it is "partial 16S ribosomal RNA". It matches the Rfam family "Bacterial small subunit ribosomal RNA", at positions 524 to 776 of the family's 1533-position model. The record is from RNAcentral.